GUGAGAAUCCAGGAAGGCAGAGACAUGUCAGCUGUGAGAAGCAUAUCCAUGCAGUUAUUAUGGCCACAUGUAAUCUUUGCUGGGCUUUGUCAGCAUAUGAGCUGCUGAUGAGGAUGACUUCUUUCCCAACCAGGAAUGGAUGAUUGCAGAAAGGAUGACCUACAAGUGGAUGGUCAGAUCUGGCUGCAAAUGGAUGUCUGAAAGAAAACGGGGAUCCUAGGAAACCCAUCACAGCCCUCUAUGAGCUUCAGAAACCAGCAAGAUGGGAUUUCGGAUGUUGGAAUCAUGAGGCUUUUGUUUAAGAGUUGCUUAAGAUGUUCUUCAGAUCCUGAAUUCCAGCAGAACAGCUGACAUCCACAACCAGUUUGAGGAUCCCCACAGAAGAGCUGAAUCAACAUGAGAAUGCAGUUUCUUCAUCUCUCCAGUCCAUGACUUCACCCUGCAAUCCCCACAGAAGAGCUGAAUCAACAUGAGAAUGCAGUUUCUUCAUCUCUCCAGUCCAUGACUUCACCCUGCAAUCCCCACACCUCAGCCCACUCCAAACCCCUUACAAACUCCUCAGGGAGGCAAAUCUGAGGUUUCCUUCCAUCUCCUUGUUCAGAUGCCCUAUGAUUAUUAAACCCUUUCUCUGCUGCAAUCCUUGAGGUCAGUGUGUCCACUUGCCAUGCUUUAGGUAAGGAACCUGUUACAGUCACACUUCCAUGUCCUCUUCCACGGUGCCACUCUCCCACCACAUCAAUGUUACCAACCCAGAAGCUCUCUAAAUUUCACUGUUCAAGAGUAUUUAUCAAAGCUUUGUUUUGUAGGUGUGUUUGAUCAAAUCAUUGGCCAUUGGUGAUUGAGCUCAAUCUCCAGCCUUUCUCCCCUCCCGGGAGGUUGGAGGGUGGGGUUAAAUGUUCAACCCUCUGAUCCCAUGUUUGGUCUUUCUGGGGACCAGUCCCCAACCUAAAUCUAUCUAAGGCCACCCUGAGUCACCUCAUUAACAUAAACUCUAGUAUGGUCAAAAGGAGCUCAUUAUGAAUAACAAAAGAUACACCUAUCACUCAAGAAAUUCUAAUAAUUUAGGAGCUCUGUGCCAGGAACUGGAGGCAAAUAAAGACCAACUAUAUUAUACCACAACUCAACACCAUUAAUUUGAUUUAUAAAGCUAUGAAGUUAGACAGUGAGACAAACUUUCCUGAACCAUGUACGCAAAGACCACCCCCAAAAUUUCCCCCAAAGUUACUUCCCGAAGAAGCUUUGUCAAAAUUUCCAUUAGAAGUUAUUUUCGGCCAGAUGCAGUGGCUCAUGCCUGUAAUCCCAGCAAUUUGGGAGGCCGAGGCAGGCAGAUCAUGAGGUCAGGACUUCAAGACCAGCGUGACCAACAUGGUGAAACCCUGUCUCUACUAAAAAUACAAAAAUUAGCCGGGCGUGGUGGCGCAUGCCUGUAAUCCCAGCUACUCGGGAGGCUGAGGCAGGAGAAUCGCUUGAACCUGGGAGGCGGAGGUUGCAGUGAGCCGAGACUGUGCCAUCACACUCCAGCCUGGGCAACAGAGCGAGACUCCAUCUCAAAGAAAAAAAAAGUUAUUUUCAGUUCCUUGGCCCAAGAUUCCUUGCAGCAAUCCUUUCAUUUUUGCUUUGCUACAAUCAAAACAAGGAAAAAAUUAUGAAGAAUAUUAAAAGAGACUUUCCUGUAGUGUAUGCAUAAGUCGUUAUCAUGAAAUUUGAAGUUGGGUGUGAUUAAUUACUAUUUAGAUUACACUAUUCAGCAUUAGAUAUAUAAUUUAUUGACUAUGGAGUAAGAGGUUGCUAUUCCAUAUUUGUAAAAUAGAAGAAUUGGAGUCUCUGGAUGAUUUUAAAGUUCCUUCCAGUUUUUUGCUUCUUUCAUUUUAAUAAAUACCCAGCAUUCAUUAAAUCAUGGGCUUCAGGGCCUUAGACACUUCAUCGCCUUCUUACAGGUUCAAAAGGGAAAAUCAGAUUCCAUCUACAUCAUUUUAAUUGAUGACACCAUUUUGGAGAAUAUAAAUCAAUUGAGUUGUAUGGACUUCCUAUGGCUAUGUCUUUAUCAUGGUAUAACUUAUGUUUAAAUGGUUCUGAGAAAAGAAAAACAGCUCAAAGAGCUCUCAGCUCUGUGAGGUUUGCAGGCCCAGAGAGACACAGUGCAGGGCUUGCAGUCAUCCCCUACUCAUGCCUGGGGGUAUUGUUUAAAGUCAUUUUGUUCCUAACUAGCUGCCUCUCCUGCUGUCUUCAUGUUCCUGGAAUUCAUGAUACCAAGGACAGUAUAUAGCCAAUCAAUAGCUUAUUUUAUUUAUCUUUUUUUUCUUUUUUUUUUUAAGAGACAGGGUCUCACUAUGUUGCCCAGGCUGGUCUUGAACUCCUGAGCUAAAGCAAUCUUUCCCACCUUGGCCUCCCAAAGUGUAGGAUUACAGGCAUAAACCACCAUGCCCAACCUACUUAUGUUAUUUGAAUAGAAAUUAUUUUCCUUUUUGAUGAGUAGAUUAAAAACGACGACAACAAAAAGAAUGGAAAUUCUUGGUAACCAACUCAGGAAGUGUCUCUUCUUUUCCUUUAAAAAUCCUUGGCCAGGCACGGUGGCUCACACCUGUAAUCCCAGCACUUUGGGAGGCCGAGGCAGGCAGAUCACCAGAGGUCAGGAGUUCAAGAUCAGCCUGGCCAACAUGGUAAAAUCCUGUCUCUACUAAAAAUAAAAAAAAAAAUUAGCUGGGCAUGGUGGCAGAUGCCUGCAGUCCCAGCUACUCAGGAGGCUGACCCACUAGAAUUGCUUGAACCCAGGAGGCGGAGGUUGCAGUGAGCUGAGAUUGCACCACUGCACUCUAGCUUGGGCAACAGAGUGAGACUCUGUCUCCAAAAAAAAAAAAAAAGUAUUUAAAGUGUUUUGAUUAUUUUCUUUUUGUUUUUUUAAUUGGGCAGCCCCAGAACCAGAAUAGAUCCAGAGAGACCCCCCUGAUUUUUUGUAAGUUUCUCUGAAGAUGCAGGUUGGCCAGAGCAGAUUGUAAAACUGCGGGGUUUAGCAAAGAAAUCACUUAAGCCAAUUGAGAAGUGAUUAAGGAGAAGGUUAAUUGAAUGAAUUAGUAACUUAGUUACUAGAGUAAAUUUUUUCUCAUUGAAAGAAAACAGUGCCAGACACAGUGGCCCAUGCCUGUAAUCCCAGCACUUUUGGAAGCUGAGGUAGGAGGAUUGCUUGAGGCCAAGAGUUCCAGACCAGCCUAGGCAACAUAGUGAGAUCCCUGUCUCUGCAAAAACAACUUAAAACAUUAGUUGGGCAUGGUAGGGCAUGCCUGUAGUCCUAGCUACUCAGCAGGCUGAGGUGGGAGAAUCACUUAAGCCCGGGAGCAUGGGGCUGCAGUGAGCUAUGAUCAUACCACUGCACUCCAACCUGGUUGACAGAGCAAGACACUGUCUCCAAAUAGAAGGAAAAGAAGAAAACAAGUUUUUUAAAAAAUAUAUUAAAAUAAAUAAAAAAGAAAGGAAACAAAGUGGUUAGACAGAGACUUCAGAUAGUAGUAGAAGAGAAAAAAGGAGGGUGAGGGGAGAAUAAUUUUUCCUGAACAGAAAGAAGAAAGAGCAAGGAAAAGAGAUAUUGGAGAAAGACUUUGCCUUUAAGGACAUGGAAGUCAUACUCCACAAGAUUCUGAAUUAAUGUACACAAUGGGAGAAACCCUGUAAUGUCUACUAGGACUUUUAAAGAGUGAUUUCUUCCUAGCAUGUCAUAGGCCUGGAAGCUUUAAAACUGAGGGAAAAAGAAGAAUUUUUUUGAAAACUAGAAGAGAAAAAUCAAGAUUUUGUUAUGAAGUGGCAACUAAAUGACAUAGUAACAAAAAUGUGUAUCAAGACCUGUUUGACUAUUUUAAAAGUUUGUUUGAUUUUAUAUAGUGCCUAAAUAUGUUGAUACAUUUGUAAUCAGUGUUUCAGUGUAAUAAAAUGAUUAAGAACACAGUCUUCAAGACAGACAAGACUGGAUUCUAU
This 3966-nucleotide long non-coding RNA is filed under the name Homo sapiens (human). Its description in RNAcentral is "non-protein coding lnc-TLK1-1:5". The record is from RNAcentral. Lineage: Eukaryota; Metazoa; Chordata; Mammalia; Primates; Hominidae.